RNAcentral lists this long non-coding RNA (1104 nucleotides) under Nicotiana benthamiana. RNAcentral's name for it is "long non-coding RNA (NBEN_LNC022102)". The record is from RNAcentral. Lineage: Eukaryota; Viridiplantae; Streptophyta; Magnoliopsida; Solanales; Solanaceae.
GCAAUUAAUUUUUAUGUGCAUAGACCAAUUAUUUCAUGAGCAAUGUUUUGAGAAUACUCUCUUAAAGAGUUUUGUCAUUACUUAAGGGUGAAGUUUCCUUUAUUAUUAAAUUUCAUAUCUAUUUCCAACGCAUCAAAAAUUCCAUAUCUAUAUAAAUUACACAUUUUCCUAACUAUUAAAUACCUUUCAAAACUCAAACUACAGAGAAAAAAGGGAGGGAAUAUAGCGAUUAUUACGUCAUAGGAAUCAUUUUAAUGUUAUCGCUACUUGAUUUCGUGCCCCGGAUGAUAAUCUUGUUGGAAACCAUUGUGAAAAGCUCUAAUGGAAGGUUAGGGGUAUUAUUUGGUCGAUCUAUAUGGAAUUAUGAAGAAAGAGACGACAUAGGAAGAUAAAUAUCCAUUUUGGUUGAAAAGUCAAAAAGGUGCUACUUGGCACCCUAGCAUUGGUUCAUCUUCCAAUGCUUAUAACUUUUUAUCCGGGUGUCGUAUGAGCGAACGCCUAAGAGAGUUAGAAACUAGAUUCCAAGAUCAUUAAAUUAAUAUAUAAUAUGUCCCAAAAAGACCUCAUAUAAUACACGAAAUAUAUUGCUCAAAGAGCUUUAGCGGCAUACCUUCUUGCCAACUAUGCAGUCUGUGCAGUCUUGUGAAACUGCAAAUAUCCAUCUACUCCAAUAUCGUAUUGACAAACCGUUUAACGCAUAAGAAAUUAGUCUCGUAGAUCUUCAAUUUAUAUAUGGAUCAUCCCAUAAUUCCAAGUAUAUUAUGAGAAAAGCUUCACUACGCCUAAUUUUUAGCACAUUUAUAAAUGCAACUUGUAAUGACAUUUGCCAACUUUUGUUCCACAACUCGCUUAACUCCAAAUUGUAACACACGACUAUCAUAAACCUUAAAUAAUUAUAACAUAGCAUCCUUAUCACGUUAAGGACCCUACUCUCACCCCCAAAGUUCAUGUUAUAACAUUCCCAACUUAUCGACUUUCGACGAAACUUAUUUCCUUCAAUUUGCUUAGCUUCUAAGCCUUUCCAACCAUCUUGUUACUUGUUAUUCAUGAACUUAAAUAUUUGUAACCUCUAAGUUAACAUGAUUACGUUACUAUAUUUGCUUC